Molecule: small nuclear RNA, 165 nt
Filed under: Adineta vaga
Lineage: Eukaryota; Metazoa; Rotifera; Eurotatoria; Adinetida; Adinetidae
Also listed under: 1 other name
Description: U1 spliceosomal RNA
Rfam family: U1 spliceosomal RNA
About the family: U1 is a small nuclear RNA (snRNA) component of the spliceosome (involved in pre-mRNA splicing). Its 5' end forms complementary base pairs with the 5' splice junction, thus defining the 5' donor site of an intron.
Source: RNAcentral
AUACUUACUUUCCUCUGAUCGUCUCAGUGAUCAUGAAUACUGAACAUCCAGGACGAGGUUUUGGCAUUGCACUACGCUAUAAACUAAAUCCUGCUUUCGCUCCAUAUCGGGGCGAAGAGAGAGGUCAAUUUGUUAGCAGCGUCUCUGCGUUCGCGCUCAGACCGU